CAACCAGCAGCUCCCUUGGUAGGGGCAUGCAGAAGACCUGAUGACACAAACCCUCCAAAGAGUUUCACCCUCACCACAACAGGUGGCUUCCUGCUCGGCAGCCCAUCCUGCAUCACUUCAGUGGACUUCUCUGACAUCUACUAGACCACAUUAAAUGAAUCACAGCCUUGAAACUGAACUGGAAGGACUUCCUUCAAGGAGCCAGCAUAUGAACUUGCUGCCUAUCUUUAGCAAGGAGAUGCAAAUGACAUCCACAAACCUCUUCUGCUGUAUACCUGGAUGAAAGCAAGGCUAGCUGUGUGUCCUAUGGCACCAAGGACUGAAAGAUUGUAAGAAGUAAGAGGGAAAGUGAUCCAAAAAGGUGGAACACCUAAUGUACAGCCCCAAGGAAGGAGCAUACUUGGAGAAUUCAAGGAACAGAAAGAAAAACAGGAAGGCUGGAGUGAAACUGAUUAAAUAAAGCAUCGUAACAUUAGAGGUCCAUCAUAGAGGCCAAGCCAAAUACAACUAUGUUUUCAAGCAUAAGAUGGAUAGAUGUGGUAAACCACAAGAAGCAAACAGCCCUUUAGAGGUGUGGAUUGACCUUGCAGAGUUACAAGUGGAGCCAGGAGAAAUCAUGUUGAGUGGGACUUCUCAUCCUACCUAAGAGAGACUAACAGAUGGAAAGCUGGGUACAGAAGGGAGAGAAGGCAGUAACAGUCAGAUUUCAAUACGCUGAGACUGUGACGUGGGACUUUUGAGUGAGUAACAUCUGCUCCUAGAACUGAGUUGAGUGGGGAUCCUCCCACACCACCCAGGCAAGAGAACUAACAAUUGAUGACUGCUCCAAAUCAGUCGCCAGUCUACCUAAUACUUCUACCUGGUAGGUAGCCUGAUACCCACUAACAUCAGCUUUGCCAGAAGUGCUCUUCCUCUCUGUCCAGUGGGCAAGCACCAAUUCAUUUUCAAACUCUCCACUGAAGCAUCAAUUUUCUGUAAUGCCUUUCUUGACCUCAGAGAUACCUGCAGAAGCACUUAGAGAAUUUCUUCUCUGAUCUUUGCUUUAGAAUACUGUGGUAACAAGUGAAGCAAGGAAAGAAAGUGAUAUGGCAAAAGAUGAAAUAAAAUUGGCAGCAUGUUGAAAUCUUCUGACAUUGUGUGGUGGGUUCAUGGGUUCAUUUGUAC
RNAcentral lists this long non-coding RNA (1164 nucleotides) under Homo sapiens (human). Its description in RNAcentral is "HSALNT0373490". Lineage: Eukaryota; Metazoa; Chordata; Mammalia; Primates; Hominidae. The record is from RNAcentral.